This 258-nucleotide long non-coding RNA is filed under the name Brassica napus (rape). RNAcentral's name for it is "long non-coding RNA (BNAP_LNC022609)". Lineage: Eukaryota; Viridiplantae; Streptophyta; Magnoliopsida; Brassicales; Brassicaceae. The record is from RNAcentral.
AGGUGGAAGAGUUGAGGGGGAGAGAACCGUGAAACUUGACAGGAGAUAGUUUUGGGCUGGGAAUGGACUGGAUUAUAUUUUUUACAGAGCCCACUCGAAAUACCAUUUCCAGUUCAGCUGAGCUGAACUGGCAAAAAAGAACUUCUUUAUUGGUUGAUUUUUUAUUCUGAUGUGGCAGCUUCACCAUUGAGUAUAUCCUGCUUUUGGUAUUGUAUAUGUUGUUGUGGAGUUUUAUGUAAUUUCACACAUCCUCCUUGC